UAGGGAAUCUUCGGCAAUGGGGGGAACCCUGACCGAGCAACGCCGCGUGAGUGAAGAAGGUUUUCGGAUCGUAAAGCUCUGUUGUUAAGGAAGAACGAGUGUGAGAAUGGAAAGUUCAUACUGUGACGGUACUUAACCAGAAAGGGACGGCUAACUACGUGCCAGCAGCCGCGGUAAUACGUAGGUCCCGAGCGUUGUCCGGAUUUAUUGGGCGUAAAGCGAGCGCAGGCGGUUAGAAAAGUCUGAAGUGAAAGGCAGUGGCUCAACCAUUGUAGGCUUUGGAAACUGUUUAACUUGAGUGCAGAAGGGGAGAGUGGAAUUCCAUGUGUAGCGGUGAAAUGCGUAGAUAUAUGGAGGAACACCGGUGGCGAAAGCGGCUCUCUGGUCUGUAACUGACGCUGAGGUUCGAAAGCGUGGGUAGCAAACAGGAUUAGAUACCCUGGUAGUCCACGCCGUAAACGAUGAAUGCUAGGUGUUGGAGGGUUUCCGCCCUUCAGUGCCGCAGCUAACGCAAUAAGCAUUCCGCCUGGGGAGUACGACCGCAAGGUUG
This 550-nucleotide ribosomal RNA is filed under the name uncultured bacterium. RNAcentral's name for it is "bacterial SSU rRNA". It matches the Rfam family "Bacterial small subunit ribosomal RNA", at positions 355 to 896 of the family's 1533-position model. The record is from RNAcentral.